GGGCACAUAGCUCAGUUGGUAGAGCGCUUGCCUUACAAGCAAGUGGUCGUAGGUUCGAGUCCUGCUGUGCCCA
RNAcentral lists this transfer RNA (73 nucleotides) under bacterium. RNAcentral's name for it is "tRNA-Val". It matches the Rfam family "tRNA". From Rfam's summary of the family: Transfer RNA (tRNA) molecules are approximately 80 nucleotides in length. RNAcentral also lists the same sequence under 3 other names. The record is from RNAcentral.